Molecule: transfer RNA, 109 nt
Filed under: Melanopsichium pennsylvanicum
Lineage: Eukaryota; Fungi; Basidiomycota; Ustilaginomycetes; Ustilaginales
Description: transfer RNA-Cys(GCA)
Rfam family: tRNA
About the family: Transfer RNA (tRNA) molecules are approximately 80 nucleotides in length. Their secondary structure includes four short double-helical elements and three loops (D, anti-codon, and T loops).
Source: RNAcentral
GUGGGAGAGGCUUAGUGGUUUGGCGUGAGAUUGCAACGUAUCUUGAUUUCGAAAGAACGGCGCCCAGAAUAAUAUCUUGAGGUCGUGGGUUCGAUUCCCACCUUCCACU